This 408-nucleotide ribosomal RNA is filed under the name uncultured bacterium. RNAcentral describes it as "partial 16S ribosomal RNA". It matches the Rfam family "Bacterial small subunit ribosomal RNA", at positions 28 to 526 of the family's 1533-position model. The record is from RNAcentral.
GACGAACGCUGGCGGCGUGCUUAACACAUGCAAGUCGAACGAAGUGGCGAACGGGUGAGUAACGCGUAAUCAACCUGCCCUUCAGAGGGGGACAACAGUUGGAAACGACUGCUAAUACCGCAUACUGAAGGCGGGGAUUGCGUCUGAUUAGCUAGUUGGAGGGGUAACGGCCCACCAAGGCGAUGAUCAGUAGGCGGGCUGAGAGGAUGGACGGCCACAUUAGGACUGAGACACGGCUCAGACUCCUACGGGAGGCAGCAGGGGGGAAUCUUCCGAAAUGGGGGAAAAUCUGACGGCGCAACGCCGCGUUAGUGAUGACGGCCUUCGGGUUGUAAAGCUCUGUUAAUCGGGACGCGGUACCGGAAUAGAAAGCCACGGCUAACUCCGUGCCAGCAGCCGCGGUAAUAC